UCCGUAGGUGAACCUGCGGAGGGAUCAUUACAGAGCAUCAUGCCCUUCGGGGUAGAUCUCCCACCCUGUGUCUUAUGUACCCUUUGUUGCUUUGGCGGGCCGCCCUCGGCCACCGGCUCCGGCUGGUGCGUGCCCGCCAGAGGAAACCAAACUCUGAAUGUUAGUGUCGUCUGAGUACUAUAUAAUAGUUAAAACUUUCAACAACGGAUCUCUUGGUUCUGGCAUCGAUGAAGAACGCAGCGAAAUGCGAUAAGUAAUGUGAAUUGCAGAAUUCAGUGAAUCAUCGAAUCUUUGAACGCACAUUGCGCCCGCCGGUAUUCCGGCGGGCAUGCCUGUUCGAGCGUCAUUACAACCCUCAAGCUCUGCUUGGCCUUGGGCGUCACCGGCAACGGUGGGCCUCAAACCCAGUGGCGGUGCCGUCUGGCUCUAAGCGUAGUAAUUCUUCUCGCUAUAGGUGCCCGGCGGAUGCUUGCCAGCAACCCCCAACUUCUUAAG
Molecule: ribosomal RNA, 495 nt
Filed under: Leotiomycetes sp. genotype 26
Lineage: Eukaryota; Fungi; Ascomycota; Leotiomycetes
Description: eukaryotic LSU rRNA
Rfam family: 5.8S ribosomal RNA (bases 193-346)
Source: RNAcentral